This 364-nucleotide ribosomal RNA is filed under the name uncultured bacterium. Its description in RNAcentral is "bacterial SSU rRNA". It matches the Rfam family "Bacterial small subunit ribosomal RNA", at positions 335 to 690 of the family's 1533-position model. The record is from RNAcentral.
ACUCCUACGGGAGGCAGCAGUAGGGAAUCUUCCACAAUGGGCGCAAGCCUGAUGGAGCAACACCGCGUGAGUGAAGAAGGGUUUCGGCUCGUAAAGCUCUGUUGUUAAAGAAGAACACGUAUGAGAGUAACUGUUCAUACGUUGACGGUAUUUAACCAGAAAGUCACGGCUAACUACGUGCCAGCAGCCGCGGUAAUACGUAGGUGGCAAGCGUUAUCCGGAUUUAUUGGGCGUAAAGAGAGUGCAGGCGGUUUUCUAAGUCUGAUGUGAAAGCCUUUGGCUUAACCGGAGAAGUGCAUCGGAAACUGGAUAACUUGAGUGCAGAAAGAGGGUAGUGGAACUCCAUGUGUAGCGGUGGAAUGCG